UUUAAGUGCAACCAUAAGUUUCCGCGCCCAACUUUAAUCGUCCGUCUUAUUUAAUUUUUUUUAUAAUUAGUAUUUUUGUUGUUAUGAGAUGAUAAAACAUUAAUAAUACUUUACUCGUGACUUAUGUUUUUAAUUUUUUUUCAAAAAAUUUUAAAUAAAACGGUCGGUUAAAGUUGGGCGCGAAAAUUCAUGGCUACACUUAAA
Oryza meridionalis is the source of this 204-nucleotide non-coding RNA. The record is from Rfam. Lineage: Eukaryota; Viridiplantae; Streptophyta; Magnoliopsida; Poales; Poaceae.